This 499-nucleotide long non-coding RNA is filed under the name Nicotiana benthamiana. RNAcentral describes it as "long non-coding RNA (NBEN_LNC032903)". The record is from RNAcentral. Lineage: Eukaryota; Viridiplantae; Streptophyta; Magnoliopsida; Solanales; Solanaceae.
AGUUCAAGUUUUUCGGUAACUGUUUCAUAUGCCCUGAACUUCGCUGCUAGUGCUAUUGAUCUGGAACAGUUGCAUCUUUUCCCAUACUUCUUUCCAUGCAAACUAUGAGACCGCUGCUAGUGCUAUUGAUCUGGAACAGUCGCAUCUUUUCCCAUACUUCUUUCCAUGCAAACUAUGAGACUCUACUUUUCUCGGGUCUUGGAAUGUGGUUGCUACUAUUGAUCUUUGCAGAAGAAAAUCCAUGUUGGGUUGUUUUGGUUUUCCAUCUACCAAUAUUAUCUGCUUAACCAGUAUAUUCUUUUCUUCCGUUAUAGUUUUAAGAUGUGUCAUAGGCAGUCAAAUGCACAAUUUAACUUCAGUAUUGUUUCCUACAAUAUGAGUGUUAGUCUAAGCCCUGUGACCUUAUAUGCUGCUGCUGACUAAUGGUGUGAACUGCACUUUACUGAUAUAUAGGGGGAAAAACUUUGAUAUUUCUGCUAUCCUCCUUUUUCUCUAUAUU